GACGAACCGUGCGAACGUUGUUCGGAAUCACUGGGCUUAAAGGGCGCGUAGGCGGGCUGUCAAGUCUGGGGUGAAAUCCCUCGGCUCAACCGAGGAACUGCGUCCGAUACUGGCAGGCUGGAAUCCGGGAGAGGGAUGUGGAAUUCCAGGUGUAGCGGUGAAAUGCGUAGAUAUCUGGAGGAACACCGGUGGCGAAGGCGGCAUCCUGGACCGGUAUUGACGCUGAGGCGCGAAAGCUAGGGGAGCAAACGGG
RNAcentral lists this ribosomal RNA (253 nucleotides) under uncultured bacterium. RNAcentral's name for it is "partial 16S ribosomal RNA". It matches the Rfam family "Bacterial small subunit ribosomal RNA", at positions 524 to 776 of the family's 1533-position model. The record is from RNAcentral.